RNAcentral lists this ribosomal RNA (500 nucleotides) under Virgibacillus sp. 7505. Its description in RNAcentral is "bacterial LSU rRNA". It matches the Rfam family "Bacterial large subunit ribosomal RNA", at positions 1 to 492 of the family's 2925-position model. The record is from RNAcentral. Lineage: Bacteria; Bacillati; Bacillota; Bacilli; Caryophanales; Bacillaceae.
AGGAUAAGUUAGAAAGGGCGCACGGUGAAUGCCUUGGCACUAGGAGCCGAUGAAGGACGCGACGAACCGCGAUAGGCUUCGGGGAGCUGUAAGUAAGCUUCGAUCCGGAGAUUUCCGAAUGGGGGAACCCACCAUCCGUAAUGGGAUGGUACUGGCAUCUGAACACAUAGGAUGUCGAGAGGCAGACCCGGGGAACUGAAACAUCUAAGUACCCGGAGGAAGAGAAAGCAAAUGCGAUUUCCUGAGUAGCGGCGAGCGAAACGGAAACAGCCCAAACCAAGAGGCUUGCCUCUUGGGGUUGUAGGACACUCAACAACGGAGUGAUCAAGAAACGGAGUAGGUGAACUGUCUGGAAAGGCAGGCCGAAGAAGGUAACAGCCCUGUAGCUGAAACUUCGUUUCCUCCAGAGUGGAUCCUGAGUACGGCGGGACACGUGAAACCCCGUCGGAAUCCGGGAGGACCAUCUCCCAAGGCUAAAUACUCCCUAGUGACCGAUAGUG